GCAAACAAGCUGGUGAUACACAAGGAGCAAGACUUAAAAUCUUGCGACCUCUGGUCGUGCGGGUUCGAGUCCCGCCGUCCGCACCA
RNAcentral lists this transfer RNA (86 nucleotides) under Methylobacterium crusticola. Its description in RNAcentral is "tRNA-Leu". The record is from RNAcentral. Lineage: Bacteria; Pseudomonadati; Pseudomonadota; Alphaproteobacteria; Hyphomicrobiales; Methylobacteriaceae.